UCCUAGAGCAUGUCCACUGCCCUUCUUCAUAAUUAGGUCACAUCUAAGCUGGAAUCAGUCUCAGACAGGUGCACAGACAUGAGGGUCCCAAAACUACUUCUGGUGUUGCAGCUGCUCUGGCUUACAGGUGCCAGAUGUGACACUCAGAUGACCCAAUCUCCAGCCUCUCUGUCUAUAUCUCUGGGAGACAGUGUCACCAUCACAUGCCAAUCAAGUGAGGACAUUUACACUAAAUUAGCAUGGUAUCAGCAGGAAACAGGGAAACCUCCUAAGCUCCUCAUCUAUGAUGCAAACAGAUUGGAAGAUGGGGUCCCAUCGAGGUUCAGUGGCAGUGGAUCUGGCACACAGUAUUCUCUCAAGAUCAGCAGUCUGCAGCCUGAAGAUGUGUCAACUUAUUUCUGUCAACAAUAUGACAACUAUCCUCCCACAGUGAUUCAAGUCAUAACAUAUACCUCCAAAGAAGCAGAAGCGUAUAGCAUGGCUGCCCCAGACAUUCCCUGGGGGGUCAUAUAG
Molecule: non-coding RNA, 513 nt
Organism: Mesocricetus auratus (golden hamster)
Lineage: Eukaryota; Metazoa; Chordata; Mammalia; Rodentia; Cricetidae
Source: the annotation of a RefSeq genome assembly